GGCUUAGAAGCAGCCAUCCUUUAAAGAUAGCGUAAUAGCUCACUGGUCAAGUCGUUUUGCGCCUAAAAUGUUCGGGGCUCAAACAUGGUACCGAAGAUGCGGAACCAGUGCUUUGCACUGGAAAUUCUAAAUUCAAAAUUACAAAUUUCAAAUAUUUUUUAAAUAAAAAUUUGAAAAUUGGACCUGCCUGCCGUAGGCAGGAAUUGAAAAUUGGAAAUUCCAGCGCGAAGCGCUGGUUGGUAGAGGAGUAUUCCAACUGGAAUGAAGUCGGACCCGCGAGGGCCGGUGGACUGGUUGGAAGUAAGAAUGUUGGCAUGAGUAGCAAAAAUCAGGGUGAGAGUCCCUGACACCGUAAGUCCAAGGUUUCCUGGGUAACGAGAAUCGACCCAGGGUUAGUCGGUCCUAAGGCGAGGCCCAAAGGCGUAGUCGAUGGAUAAGCUGGUUAAUAUUCCAGCACUACCUUGAUUUUCCAAGGGGAGGACGCAUUAACAGAGAUUGAGCGCUUUUUGGCUAUAGGCGUUGCUGGUUUAAGAUGCGAUAGACAGGUAAAUCCGUUUAUCAUUAACAUCUGAAUUGGCAGAAGAGAAAACCGCAAGGUGGACUCAAUUCAAUUAAAGUUAGUGCCAAGAAAAAUCUCUAGGGUUAAGAUCAAGGCAACCGUACUGCAAACCGACUCAGGUGGACGAGGCGAGUAGCCUCAGGUGUACGAGAGAAACAUUGUUCAGGAACUCGGCAAAAUAGCGACCGUAACUUCGGAAUAAGGUCCGCCCCGAUUUAUCGGGGCCGCAGCUAAAGAUGCCAAGCGACUGUUUACCAAAAACACAGGUCUCUGCUAAACCGUAAGGUGAUGUAUAGGGGCUGAUGCCUGGCCAGUGUCUGAACGUUAAAGGGAGGGGUUAGUGUGCUUCGCUAUCGCGAAGCACUAAAUUCAA
Molecule: ribosomal RNA, 932 nt
Filed under: Candidatus Buchananbacteria bacterium RIFCSPLOWO2_01_FULL_39_33
Lineage: Bacteria; Candidatus Buchananiibacteriota
Description: bacterial LSU rRNA
Rfam family: Bacterial large subunit ribosomal RNA
Source: RNAcentral